Molecule: ribosomal RNA, 207 nt
Filed under: uncultured bacterium
Lineage: Bacteria
Description: partial 16S ribosomal RNA
Rfam family: Bacterial small subunit ribosomal RNA
Source: RNAcentral
UGCGUAGGCGGCUUUGCAAGUCAGAUGUGGAAUCUAUGGGCUCAACCCAUAGCCUGCAUUUGAAACUGCAGAGCUUGAGUGAAGUAGAGGCAGGCGGAAUUCCCCGUGUAGCGGUGAAAUGCGUAGAGAUGGGGAGGAACACCAGUGGCGAAGGCGGCCUGCUGGGCUUUAACUGACGCUGAGGCACGAAAGCGUGGGUAGCAAACA